CCAACGGCCCUCUUUAGGGCCACAAAUUUCCCAAUAAUCCGAAACU
RNAcentral lists this non-coding RNA (46 nucleotides) under Caenorhabditis brenneri. RNAcentral's name for it is "sRNA CBN34282". It matches the Rfam family "Histone 3' UTR stem-loop". From Rfam's summary of the family: The mRNAs of metazoan histone genes lack a poly-A tail. 3' end processing occurs at a site between a highly conserved stem-loop (modelled by this family) and a purine rich region around 20 nts downstream (the histone downstream element, or HDE). The stem-loop is bound by a 31 kDa stem-loop binding protein (SLBP - also termed the histone hairpin binding protein, or HBP). Lineage: Eukaryota; Metazoa; Nematoda; Chromadorea; Rhabditida; Rhabditidae. The record is from RNAcentral.